AUACGUAGGGGGCAAGCGUUAUCCGGAUUUACUGGGUGUAAAGGGAGUGUAGGUGGCGAAGUAAGUUGGAUGUGAAAUUCCGGGGCUUAACCCUGGGCAUGCAUUCAAAACUGCUUUGCUAGAGUGCAGGAGAGGUAAGUGGAAUUCCUAGUGUAGCGGUGAAAUGCGUAGAUAUUAGGAGGAACACCAGUGGCGAAGGCGACUUACUGGACUGUAACUGACACUGAGGCUCGAAAGCGUGGGGAGCAAACAGGAUUAGAUACCCUGGAAGUCCACGCCGUAAACGAUGAAUACUAGGAGUUGGAGCCCAAAGGGCUUCGGUGCCGUCGCAAACGCAUUAAGUAUUCCACCUGGGGAGUACGUUCGCAAGAAUGAA
This 376-nucleotide ribosomal RNA is filed under the name uncultured bacterium. RNAcentral's name for it is "bacterial SSU rRNA". It matches the Rfam family "Bacterial small subunit ribosomal RNA", at positions 523 to 898 of the family's 1533-position model. The record is from RNAcentral.